This 239-nucleotide ribosomal RNA is filed under the name uncultured bacterium. RNAcentral describes it as "partial 16S ribosomal RNA". It matches the Rfam family "Bacterial small subunit ribosomal RNA", at positions 94 to 334 of the family's 1533-position model. The record is from RNAcentral.
AGCGGCGGACGGGUGAGUAACGCGUGGGUAACCUACCUCAUACAGGGGAUAACAGUUAGAAAUGACUGCUAAUACCGCAUAAGACCACGGUACCGCAUGGUACAGUGGUAAAAACUCCGGUGGUAUGAGAUGGACCCGCGUCUGAUUAGGUAGUUGGUGGGGUAACGGCCUACCAAGCCGACGAUCAGUAGCCGACCUGAGAGGGUGACCGGCCACAUUGGGACUGAGACACGGCCCAG